UAGCUGCGAUAAUCAGUGUGAAUUGCAGAACACGACGAGCACUUGAUCAUUGAACGCACAUUGCAGCCUUGGGUCUUUCCGGGGCUUUGUCUGACUGAGGGUCGGAAAAAUAAAACACAUUGUACAGGUUUGUUCGGAGGGGCAUUGAUUCAAUGGAACUCCGUCAAACUUUGGAUAACACGUGCUAAGUUGAACGCAGUAUUCCAUUCAAAGUAGAGUGACUCGGACGUUCAACAGCGAAAGCAUUACAUGCUAACGCUGUGUCUUGGGGAUGAUUCUCUACAAGGAGCUGCCUCAUCGGCAUUGUGUUCGACAAUACAUUCGGCUCAGGCCGAACCCAACCAAUUGUCGACCUCAGUUCAGGCAAGAUUACCCGCUGAAUUUAA
This 386-nucleotide unclassified non-coding RNA is filed under the name uncultured fungus. RNAcentral's name for it is "sequence contains ITS1". The stretch from base 1 to 104 matches the Rfam family "5.8S ribosomal RNA", at positions 50 to 154 of the family's 154-position model. The record is from RNAcentral. Lineage: Eukaryota; Fungi.